AUUGAACGCUAGCGGGAUGCCUUACACAUGCAAGUCGAACGGCGGCACGGACUUCGGUCUGGUGGCGAGUGGCGAACGGGUGAGUAAUGUAUCGGAACGUGCCUAGUAGCGGGGGAUAACUACGCGAAAGCGUAGCUAAUACCGCAUACGCCCUACGGGGGAAAGCAGGGGAUCGCAAGACCUUGCACUAUUAGAGCGGCCGAUAUCGGAUUAGCUAGUUGGUGGGGUAACGGCUCACCAAGGCGACGAUCCGUAGCUGGUUUGAGAGGACGACCAGCCACACUGGGACUGAGACACGGCCCAGACUCCUACGGGAGGCAGCAGUGGGGAAUUUUGGACAAUGGGGGAAACCCUGAUCCAGCCAUCCCGCGUGUGCGAUGAAGGCCUUCGGGUUGUAAAGCACUUUUGGCAGGAAAGAAACGUCAUGGGUUAAUACCCCGUGAAACUGACGGUACCUGCAGAAUAAGCACCGGCUAACUACGUGCCAGCAGCCGCGGUAAUACGUAGGGUGCAAGCGUUAAUCGGAAUUACUGGGCGUAAAGCGUGCGCAGGCGGUUCGGAAAGAAAGAUGUGAAAUCCCAGAGCUUAACUUUGGAACUGCAUUUUUAACUACCGAGCUAGAGUGUGUCAGAGGGAGGUGGAAUUCCGCGUGUAGCAGUGAAAUGCGUAGAUAUGCGGAGGAACACCGAUGGCGAAGGCAGCCUCCUGGGAUAACACUGACGCUCAUGCACGAAAGCGUGGGGAGCAAACAGG
This 753-nucleotide ribosomal RNA is filed under the name uncultured Achromobacter sp. Its description in RNAcentral is "bacterial SSU rRNA". It matches the Rfam family "Bacterial small subunit ribosomal RNA", at positions 28 to 776 of the family's 1533-position model. Lineage: Bacteria; Pseudomonadati; Pseudomonadota; Betaproteobacteria; Burkholderiales; Alcaligenaceae. The record is from RNAcentral.